This 467-nucleotide ribosomal RNA is filed under the name uncultured bacterium. Its description in RNAcentral is "partial 16S ribosomal RNA". It matches the Rfam family "Bacterial small subunit ribosomal RNA", at positions 29 to 507 of the family's 1533-position model. The record is from RNAcentral.
ACGAACGCUGGCGGCGUGCUUAACCCCUGCAAGUCGCACGGAAAGGCCCUGCUUUUGUGGGGUGCUCGAGUGGCGAACGGGUGAGUAACACGUGAGUAACCUGCCCUUGACUUUGGGAUAACUUCAGGAAACUGGGGCUAAUACCGGAUAGGAGCUCCUGCUGCAUGGUGGGGGUUGGAAAGUUUCGGCGGUUGGGGAUGGACUCGCGGCUUAUCAGCUUGUUGGUGGGGUAGUGGCUUACCAAGGCUUUGACGGGUAGCUGGCCUGAGAGGGUGACCGGCCACAUUGGGACUGAGAUACGGCCCAGACUCCUACGGGAGGCAGCAGUGGGGAAUAUUGCACAAUGGGCGGAAGCCUGAUGCAGCAACGCCGCGUGCGGGAUGACGGCCUUCGGGUUGUAAACCGCUUUCGCCUGUGACGAAGCGUGAGUGACGGUAAUGGGUAAAGAAGCACCGGCUAACUACGUG